This 253-nucleotide ribosomal RNA is filed under the name uncultured bacterium. RNAcentral's name for it is "partial 16S ribosomal RNA". It matches the Rfam family "Bacterial small subunit ribosomal RNA", at positions 524 to 776 of the family's 1533-position model. The record is from RNAcentral.
UACGGGGGGGGCAAGCGUUGUUCGGAAUUACUGGGCGUAAAGGGCGCGUAGGCGGGAUGGCAAGUCGGUCGUGAAAUCCCUCGGCUCAACCGAGGAUCGUCGAUCGAUACUGCCGUUCUUGAGGAUUGCAGAGGAGACUGGAAUUCCCGGUGUAGCGGUGAAAUGUGUAGAGAUCGGGAGGAACACCGGUGGCGAAGGCGGGUCUCUGGGCAAUUCCUGACGCUGAGGCGCGAAAGCGUGGGGAGCAAACGGG